Molecule: long non-coding RNA, 230 nt
Organism: Bufo bufo (common toad)
Lineage: Eukaryota; Metazoa; Chordata; Amphibia; Anura; Bufonidae
Exons: 3
Source: RefSeq, a predicted model, not a curated record
CAUUAGGCAGUUCAUGAUUGGCUGGUUCCAUAUAAGGUGGUCUUCCCUACCCAGGAUUCUUGUCUUGUGUACACAAGGGGCAGUCCCAGAUGGAGGAGUCAUCUUAGUCUCUGUGAACUUUACUCGAUGGAAGGGGGGAGAGAAGGAGCUAGCAGCCAUUUUAAAUAAGGAAUGUAUAACAAGUGAAAUUAGCAUUUUAUAAUUCCCUCACAAUGAAUUAUUACUAUCCA